Molecule: ribosomal RNA, 511 nt
Filed under: uncultured bacterium
Lineage: Bacteria
Description: bacterial SSU rRNA
Rfam family: Bacterial small subunit ribosomal RNA
Source: RNAcentral
CCUGGCUCAGGAUGAACGCUAGCUACAGGCUUAACACAUGCAAGUCGAGGGGCAGCAUGUUGGUUGCUGCAACCAAUGAUGGCGACCGGCGCACGGGUGAGUAACGCGUAUCCAACCUUCCCCUUAGUAGAGGAUAGCCCGGCGAAAGUCGGAUUAAUACUCUAUGUUCUUCAAUGCGGACAUCUAAGUUGAAGCAAAGAUUUAUCGCUAAGGGAUGGGGAUGCGUCUGAUUAGGUUGCAGGCGGGGUAACGGCCCACCUGGCCUACGAUCAGUAGGGGUUCUGAGAGGAAGGUCCCCCACACUGGUACUGAGACACGGACCAGACUCCUACGGGAGGCAGCAGUGAGGAAUAUUGGUCAAUGGGCGCGAGCCUGAACCAGCCAAGUAGCGUGCAAGGACGACUGCCCUAUGGGUUGUAAACUGCUUUUAUCAGGGAAUAAAGUGAGGCACGCGUGCCUUUUUGUAUGUACCUGAUGAAUAAGGACCGGCUAAUUCCGUGCCAGCCGCGGC